RNAcentral lists this ribosomal RNA (494 nucleotides) under uncultured bacterium. RNAcentral's name for it is "partial 16S ribosomal RNA". It matches the Rfam family "Bacterial small subunit ribosomal RNA", at positions 28 to 507 of the family's 1533-position model. The record is from RNAcentral.
GACGAACGCUGGCGGCGUGCUUAACACAUGCAAGUCGAACGGAAAGGCCUGCUUUCCCUUGUGGAUUGCGGGUACUCGAGUGGCGAACGGGUGAGUAACACGUGAGUGAUCUGCCCCCAACUUGGGUAUAAGCCUGGGAAACUGGGUCUAAUUCCCGAUAGGACUGCAGGGUGGUGCCUGUGGUGGAACACGAUUUUCUAGUGGUUGGGGAUGAGCUCGCGGCCUAUCAGCUUGUUGGUGGGGUAAUGGCCUACCAAGGCGGCGACGGGUAGCCGGCCUGAGAGGGUGGACGGCCACAUUGGGACUGAGAUACGGCCCAGACUCCUACGGGAGGCAGCAGUGGGGAAUAUUGCACAAUGGGCGGAAGCCUGAUGCAGCGACGCCGCGUGGGGGAUGACGACCUUCGGGUGGUAAACUCCUUUCGACCGCGAGGAAGCCACCUGGUUGGAAGGGUGGUGACGGUAGUGGUAGAAGAAGCACCGGCUAACUACGUG